Molecule: non-coding RNA, 1589 nt
Organism: Arachis ipaensis
Lineage: Eukaryota; Viridiplantae; Streptophyta; Magnoliopsida; Fabales; Fabaceae
Source: RefSeq, a predicted model, not a curated record
AAAGACAUAUGCCUCCCCGGAGAACAAUGGAAGAAGGACGCUAGGGGUCAGCCAUUCUAGUUGAGAAGGAAUGAUCUCAAGCCAGUUGCUAAAGGUUGGCUGGAGUUCAUUCAACGCUCCAUCCUCCCCACUAGCAAUCGCUCUGAGGUCACUGUGAGGCGAGCUGUGAUGAUCCAUUUCAUUAUGCUUUACAAUGAAGUGGAAGUUCAUCAGUUAAUCCCUUCUUUUUAGGAGGGCUUCGUUAGCCUUUCUCUGUUUCUCCCCCAACAUGUUUGAUGUAUCUGCAGUUGGUAUUUGCAAUGGACUUACAUUACUGGAUUUAAUAAUUAACCAGAUUCAGACCCUAUACUCCAAGUAUGGAUGCAAGGUUCCAUUGCUUCUUUUGAGCAAAGAUGACACCCAUGACAAUACUCUAAAGGUGUUGGAAAAGUAUCAGGGAUCAACUGUUGAUGUAUAGAGGAUUAAGCAGAGGACAUCCUUUUUAUAACGGUGAUAUUUUUCGUUGGGUGAUGACUACUGGAACCCUUGAUUUUUUACUGUCACAGGUAUGAACUUCCUUUGCAGUUGAGCACUCUUCCUUCAUUUGUCCCUACCCUUUAAAAUGUAUGAGCAAGAUCUGUAGGAACUUGGAUGGAAUUACUUACAACACAAGGCCAUAAUUAAAAUGUGUACAUAUAUGUGUGAUGCACUUAUAUCGUUUGUUACUUGUUGACUAGGUUUUUAAAUAAUGUUUUCCAAGGUAAGGAGUAUAUCCUUUUGAUCAACGAGGAUAAUGUGGCUACCGUCAUUGAUCCAAAUAUACUAAAUCAUUUGGUGACAAAUGAUAUUGAGUGUUGCAUGGAGGUGACACCAAGCAAUUCAUUUCAUUUAAUAUUAACAUCUGUAAUAUAUAGCUACAGCCAAAUAUAUGUUUGAAGUAAUAUCAUAAAACUCAAGGUUUGUUAUAUACAUAGCUAAUUAGAAACUAGGAACCUAACACUAAUUGAGUGAAAGAUGGGCUAGGGUGGGUUUUAUAACUAACUUGCCUAGUUGAAAAGUGAAUGCAGGAGAGUGGGCAUUCUGUUAUGAGAGCGAGGUGGGAACAGUAAAGGGCUGCGAGAAGUAGUGAGAGGGGAUGGAAAAAUAGAGACAAAAGAUAGGAACAGAUUCUAGGAGAGAUUCAAGUCUCUCGAAUACUUGAUAUCUUUGUUUUACCUUCUUUUACUGAAUAAUAAUAACCAAUAAUGGGAAAUUGGGUGAUAUCUCACUGAUAUCACUGCAUCUCCCCUACCCUUUAACUACCCCUGGAGAGCCACUGAUAUCACUUAUAUCACUCUAUCAACACUGACCGAGCGGUAGCCACUUUGCUAUCGGCUAUCAGUAUUUAGUAUUCACCUUAAUCCAGCUUACUACCCGAUGUGGGACGUUGGACACCCCAUAAUACCCAAGUCCCUAAGAAGGUACUAUAGUGUACCAUGACAAUAAUAUUCAAUUUGUCAUUCCAAUAUUUUAUAAGAAACCAUUCUUAAUUAUCUUCUAUAAUCCCACAUCGUAUGACACGUGAAGGCAGACUAUAUCAUGGUAUCAAAAAUAAAGAAACUACAAAAGCC